Molecule: long non-coding RNA, 769 nt
Filed under: Eutrema salsugineum
Lineage: Eukaryota; Viridiplantae; Streptophyta; Magnoliopsida; Brassicales; Brassicaceae
Description: long non-coding RNA (ESAL_LNC001300)
Source: RNAcentral
ACUAACCCACUUAUGCUACGACUUUGUCCUAGAACCGACCGCGCUCUGAUACCAACUUGUAGCACCAUAACCCGGAUUUCCGUUUUGAACUAACACUUAGUCAAAUUUUCAUCUGAGUUUUUACUUAGCAUUUUUCGCAUUAGGUUCGUUUAGACAAUUUUAGCCGUGCAUAAGUAGAUUAAAAACAGAAUACUUGAAUUAAAUCGAGGUUCUCAGUACAAUGAUCGUUCGCAUAUAAGCUAUUACAUUGACUAAGACCUUAACUACCCGAUCCUACCAUCCAUCCCGAUCCAGCCAUAGUCCGCGCGCUGAUCAGACCUCUGUACCUGCAUCCACAAAGGAGGCAUAAGCAAACAGAAUGCUUAGUGAGAGCGGUCAUCCCGUCUCACCGAGCCAAAGUAAAAUUGCAUCUAACAAAGAUCGAGCUCAAUGCUCAUCAGAAACAGAAAACUACCCGCGAUGAUCAUACGCGCUUACCCGGCCGAUCAUCCAACGACCAGACAAGCCUCGACGGGCAUCACAGCCGCGAUCGCCUUGCCUGAUCUAGAUCGUCGGUAAGGCGGAUCAAUCACACGGCAUAGCCAGCAGAAAUGUCAUGACAAGCACAGAAUAACACGCAACCGACCAGAAUCUAAGCAAGAAUACGACCAACAGGCCACGGUCACGCACUCACUUAGCUUUUAUCGGACAGAAUUCGGUAAGGACAGAGUUCGCGAUUGAUCAGACUCGUUCCCACAAUCGCUCUGCAGAAUCUGGACCACGCUCGACA